RNAcentral lists this ribosomal RNA (466 nucleotides) under alpha proteobacterium Z2. RNAcentral's name for it is "bacterial SSU rRNA". It matches the Rfam family "Bacterial small subunit ribosomal RNA", at positions 379 to 863 of the family's 1533-position model. The record is from RNAcentral. Lineage: Bacteria; Pseudomonadati; Pseudomonadota; Alphaproteobacteria.
AACCCUGAUCCAGCCAUGCCGCGUGAGUGAUGAAGGCCUUCGGGUUGUAAAACUCUUUCGACGGGGACGAUAAUGACGGUACCCGUAGAAGAAGCUCCGGCUAACUUCGUGCCAGCAGCCGCGGUAAUACGAAGGGGGCUAGCGUUGUUCGGAAUUACUGGGCGUAAAGCGCGCGCAGGCGGCUUAUCCAAGUCAGUGGUGAAAGCCCGGAGCUCAACUCCGGAACUGCCAUUGAAACUGUUUAGCUUGAGGACGAGAGAGGUGAGUGGAAUUCCCAGUGUAGAGGUGAAAUUCGUAGAUAUUGGGAAGAACACCGGUGGCGAAGGCGGCUCACUGGCUCGUAUCUGACGCUCAGGCGCGAUAGCGUGGGGAUCAAACAGGAUUAGAUACCCUGGUAGUCCACGCCGUAAACGAUGAAUGCUAGCCGUUGGGUAGCUUGCUAUUCAGUGCGCAGCUAACGCAUUAA